Molecule: non-coding RNA, 29 nt
Filed under: Mus musculus (house mouse)
Lineage: Eukaryota; Metazoa; Chordata; Mammalia; Rodentia; Muridae
Source: RNAcentral
UUAGAUAACUUUCAAGGAGUCUACAGUGA